Molecule: ribosomal RNA, 484 nt
Filed under: uncultured bacterium
Lineage: Bacteria
Description: partial 16S ribosomal RNA
Rfam family: Bacterial small subunit ribosomal RNA
Source: RNAcentral
AUUGAACGCUGGCGGAAUGCUUUACACAUGCAAGUCGAACGGCAGCACGGGGGCAACCCUGGUGGCGAGUGGCGAACGGGUGAGUAAUACAUCGGAACGUGCCCGGUCGUGGGGGAUAACGUAGCGAAAGUUACGCUAAUACCGCAUACGAUCUGAGGAUGAAAGCGGGGGACCUUCGGGCCUCGCGCGAUCGGGGCGGCCGAUGCCAGAUUAGGUAGUUGGUGGGGUAAAGGGCUACCAAGCCGACGAUCUGUAGCUGGUCUGAGAGGACGACCAGCCACACUGGGACUGAGCCACGGCCCAGACUCCUACGGGAGGCAGCAGUGGGGAAUUUUGGACAAUGGGCGCAAGCCUGAUCCAGCCAUUCCGCGUGCAGGACGAAGGCCUUCGGGUUGUAAACUGCUUUUGUAUGGAACGAAAAGGCUCUGGCUAAUACCUGGGGCUCAUGACGGUACCGGAAGAAUAAGCACCGGCUAACUACGUG